This 431-nucleotide ribosomal RNA is filed under the name uncultured bacterium. RNAcentral describes it as "partial 16S ribosomal RNA". It matches the Rfam family "Bacterial small subunit ribosomal RNA", at positions 29 to 507 of the family's 1533-position model. The record is from RNAcentral.
AACGAACGCUGGCGGCAGGCUUAACACAUGCAAGUCGAACGCCCCGCAAGGGGAGUGGCUGCCGGGUGAGUAACGCGUGGGAACAUACCCUUUUCUACGGAAUAGCUCUGGGAGACUGGAAUUAAUACCGUAUACGCCCUACGGGGGAAAGAUUUAUCGGGGAAGGAUUGGCCCGCGUUGGAUUAGCUAGUUGGUGGGGUAAAGGCCUACCAAGGCGACGAUCCAUAGCUGGUCUGAGAGGAUGAUCAGCCACAUUGGGACUGAGACACGGCCCAAACUCCUACGGGAGGCAGCAGUGGGGAAUAUUGGACAAUGGGCGCAAGCCUGAUCCAGCCAUGCCGCGUGAGUGAUGAAGGCCUUAGGGUUGUAAAGCUCUUUCACCGAUGAAGAUAAUGACGGUAGUCGGAGAAGAAGCCCCGGCUAACUUCGUG